RNAcentral lists this ribosomal RNA (406 nucleotides) under uncultured bacterium. RNAcentral describes it as "partial 16S ribosomal RNA". It matches the Rfam family "Bacterial small subunit ribosomal RNA", at positions 29 to 526 of the family's 1533-position model. The record is from RNAcentral.
AUUGAACGCUGGCGGCAGGCCUAACACAUGCAAGUCGAACGAGUGGCGGACGGGUGAGUAAUGUCUGGGAAACUGCCUGAUGGAGGGGGAUAACUACUGGAAACGGUAGCUAAUACCGCAUACCAUCAGAUGUGCCCAGGUGGGAUUAGCUAGGAGGUGGGGUAACGGCUCACCUAGGCGACGACCCCUAGCUGGUCUGAGAGGAUGACCAGGCAGACGGGAACUGAGAGACGGUCCAGACUCCUACGGGAGGCAGCAGUGGGGAAUCUUGCGCAAUGGGCGCAAGCCUGAUGCAGCAAUGCCGCGUGUAUGAAGAAGGCCUGCGGGUUGUAAAGGACUGUCGGCGGGGAGGCGGUACCCGAAGAAGAAGCACCGGCUAACUCCGUGCCAGCAGCCGCGGUAAUUC